This 463-nucleotide ribosomal RNA is filed under the name uncultured bacterium. RNAcentral describes it as "bacterial SSU rRNA". It matches the Rfam family "Bacterial small subunit ribosomal RNA", at positions 29 to 521 of the family's 1533-position model. The record is from RNAcentral.
AACGAACGCUGGCGGUAUGCUUAACACAUGCAAGUCGAACGAACAAAAUUGGGGCUUGCUCCAAUUUUAGUGAGUGGCAAACGGGUGAGUAACACGUGGGAAUCUACCUAUCAGUACGGAAUAACAUUUGGAAACAGAUGCUAAUACCGUAUAUUCUCCAAGGAGGAAAGAUUUAUCGCUGAUAGAUGAGCCCGCGUAAGAUUAGGUAGUUGGUAGGGUAAUGGCCUACCAAGCCGACGAUCUUUAGCUGGUCUGAGAGGAUGAUCAGCCACACUGGGACUGAGACACGGCCCAGACUCCUACGGGAGGCAGCAGUGGGGAAUAUUGGACAAUGGGCGAAAGCCUGAUCCAGCAAUACCGCGUGAAUGAUGAAGGCCUUAGGGUUGUAAAGUUCUUUAGUUGGUAAAGAUAAUGACGGUACCAACAGAAAAGACCCGGCUAACUCCGUGCCAGCAGCCGCGGU